CAAGUCGAGCGAACAGAUGAGAAGCUUGCUUCUCUGAUGUUAGCGGCGGACGGGUGAGUAACACGUGGGUAACCUACCUAUAAGACUGGGAUAACUCCGGGAAACCGGGGCUAAUACCGGAUAAUAUUUUGAACCGCAUGGUUCAAUAGUGAAAGACGGUUUCGGCUGUCACUUAUAGAUGGACCCGCGCCGUAUUAGCUAGUUGGUAAGGUAAUGGCUUACCAAGGCGACGAUACGUAGCCGACCUGAGAGGGUGAUCGGCCACACUGGAACUGAGACACGGUCCAGACUCCUACGGGAGGCAGCAGUAGGGAAUCUUCCGCAAUGGGCGAAAGCCUGACGGAGCAACGCCGCGUGAGUGAUGAAGGUCUUCGGAUCGUAAAACUCUGUUGUUAGGGAAGAACAAAUUUGUUAGUAACUGAACAAGUCUUGACGGUACCUAACCAGAAAGCCACGGCUAACUACGUGCCAGCAGCCGCGGUAAUACGUAGGUGGCAAGCGUUAUCCGGAAUUAUUGGGCGUAAAGCGCGCGUAGGCGGUUUCUUAAGUCUGAUGUGAAAGCCCACGGCUCAACCGUGGAGGGUCAUUGGAAACUGGGAAACUUGAGUGCAGAAGAGGAGAGUGGAAUUCCAUGUGUAGCGGUGAAAUGCGCAGAGAUAUGGAGGAACACCAGUGGCGAAGGCGGCUCUCUGGUCUGUAACUGACGCUGAUGUGCGAAAGCGUGGGGAUCAAACAGGAUUAGAUACCCUGGUAGUCCACGCCGUAAACGAUGAGUGCUAAGUGUUAGGGGGUUUCCGCCCCUUAGUGCUGCAGCUAACGCAUUAAGCACUCCGCCUGGGGAGUACGACCGCAAGGUUGAAACUCAAAGGAAUUGACGGGGACCCGCACAAGCGGUGGAGCAUGUGGUUUAAUUCGAAGCAACGCGAAGAACCUUACCAAAUCUUGACAUCCUUUGACCGCUCUAGAGAUAGAGUCUUCCCCUUCGGGGGACAAAGUGACAGGUGGUGCAUGGUUGUCGUCAGCUCGUGUCGUGAGAUGUUGGGUUAAGUCCCGCAACGAGCGCAACCCUUAAGCUUAGUUGCCAUCAUUAAGUUGGGCACUCUAGGUUGACUGCCGGUGACAAACCGGAGGAAGGUGGGGAUGACGUCAAAUCAUCAUGCCCCUUAUGAUUUGGGCUACACACGUGCUACAAUGGAUAAUACAAAGGGCAGCGAAUCCGCGAGGCCAAGCAAAUCCCAUAAAAUUAUUCUCAGUUCGGAUUGUAGUCUGCAACUCGACUACAUGAAGCUGGAAUCGCUAGUAAUCGUAGAUCAGCAUGCUACGGUGAAUACGUUCCCGGGUCUUGUACACACCGCCCGUCACACCACGAGAGUUUGUAACACCCGAAGCCGGUGGAGUAACCUUUUAGGAGCUAGCC
Molecule: ribosomal RNA, 1417 nt
Filed under: bacterium
Lineage: Bacteria
Description: bacterial SSU rRNA
Rfam family: Bacterial small subunit ribosomal RNA
Source: RNAcentral